UACAGAGGUCCCGAGCGUUGUUCGGAUUCAUUGGGCGUAAAGGGUGCGUAGGCGGCGGGGCAAGUCUGAUGUGAAAUCCUGGGGCUCAACCCUGGAACUGCAUUGGAUACUGCCUUGCUAGAGUACUGGAGAGGAAACUGGAAUUUACGGUGUAGCAGUGAAAUGCGUAGAGAUCGUAAGGAAGACCAGUGGCGAAAGGCGAGUUUCUGGACAGUUACUGACGCUGAGGCACGAAGGCCAGGGGGAGCAAAACGGGG
RNAcentral lists this ribosomal RNA (257 nucleotides) under uncultured bacterium. RNAcentral's name for it is "partial 16S ribosomal RNA". It matches the Rfam family "Bacterial small subunit ribosomal RNA", at positions 524 to 778 of the family's 1533-position model. The record is from RNAcentral.